GUAGAGAAUCGUUGCUUCUUUCUUUCUUUGUUGUAAAGCUGCGGCUCUAGUCGCGACGCCCCCUGCUGACCCGCAGCUGUAGCUCUGAGCGCUGACUGAGUGUUGCGGAAGCCGAGUACAAACAGCGUAGAUUAGAAACAGCGUAGGACGAGGAGGGCAGCGCUGCGGCCACCGCACUGGGGCAGGUCCGCAAGUGACGUUUCCGGGCGGGCUGGACUUCGCCGCUCGUGCGCCUAUAACGCGCGGCAGCGCGAGCUCAGGGCGGCACAGCGAGUCGCGCGGCCGUCCAUCCGCGCGCUCCAGCGAGGCGACGGUGGGGGCGCAGCUCCGAGCAGCGGCAGCCUCCCGAGAUGUGCGCCAGCGCGCGAGCCGGCGACUCCGUCCGCGUGACGAUGCGUGGAGGAGCACCGUGGGGGUUCCAGCUGCAAGAUGGGAAGGAGCAUCACGGACCACUCGUUGUGUCUCAGGUGGACAGCGGCGGCAGGGCCGCCCAGGCCGGCCUCCUGGAGGGGGACGAGGUGGCGUCAUUGAAUGGGGAGCCCGCCUCCGACCUCGCCCCCCAGGACAUCGCCGCCCGCCUCGAAGGUCCCGCCGACAGCCUGGAGCUGCUGGUCAGGAGGUAACGGCUGCAUAUCGGUCACGGCGUGAGACCCCCGAGCCAGGAGAGGCUCUGCGAGGCCUUUCGAGGGCUUUCCUAUAUAAGGCAGUUGCUUCUGCUUUUAAUUCGGUUAAAUAAACAACGUGCUCCUUGUUGGCGUGCUCUCAGCAUCGCCCUGCGCCCGUGUUUACUUACCACUGUUCUUCGCAAGACCACAUUGUUAAAGGCUGCUUAUUUUACUUAUUCAUUUGAAGCGUAAAAUCAGAAUUCUUCUAAACUUACAGUAUAUAUGGAACCGUGUUCAUAUUAUACCAUGGUUAGAGCUGUCACCUUGCACUUAAGGAGCCCAGGUUUGAAUCCCACCUGCUUCUGUAGUAUCCUUGACCAAGGGGAUUACUCUGAAUUGGUGCUGUAAGAAUUACCCAGCUGUAUAAGUAGAAAAAAAUCAAUAAAUAAAAAAUAAAUGGAAGCA
Molecule: long non-coding RNA, 1070 nt
Filed under: Scleropages formosus (Asian bonytongue)
Lineage: Eukaryota; Metazoa; Chordata; Actinopteri; Osteoglossiformes; Osteoglossidae
Description: lncRNA (ENSSFOG00015027810.1)
Source: RNAcentral